This 476-nucleotide long non-coding RNA is filed under the name Panax ginseng (ginseng). RNAcentral describes it as "long non-coding RNA (PGIN_LNC009434)". The record is from RNAcentral. Lineage: Eukaryota; Viridiplantae; Streptophyta; Magnoliopsida; Apiales; Araliaceae.
UCGCUAACGCGCUCGGUAUCGUCACCCUGUUGAUACAAUAACAAAUAAUAAGUAUUAGUAAACAUAAAUAACAAUUAAAGAAAACAGACAAAUUAUAAUGAACAAGCGGAAUAUACAACUUAAAAUAAAUAAGAUACCUCAGUAGGCUCGAGCUGACGCAACAGUGGGCCAAAAGCCUCCAAGAAUAGGGUAAUCACUAUCCGUAUAAUCUCGUCGUGUAUAGCUACGAACUGCUCCGGUGAGAUACUCGUACUCUCGACAGUAACCCUAGUUGCGAUGUCCUGCACAAGCACGGGAAUCGUAUCGGUACCGAGGACCUCCGUCACCCGCAUCAUAACCACUUUAGAAGUGUUCUAUACUUGUACCAAUUAACAUGAGCCAUCAAGUACCUUUUAAUGCAAAUUAUUACUAUUUAAAAGACUAUUAAUCUCCUAUCAUGAAAUAAAAUAAUCUCAAAUAAUGUUAAAUACUUUAUA